Molecule: ribosomal RNA, 348 nt
Filed under: uncultured Streptococcus sp.
Lineage: Bacteria; Bacillati; Bacillota; Bacilli; Lactobacillales; Streptococcaceae
Description: bacterial SSU rRNA
Rfam family: Bacterial small subunit ribosomal RNA
Source: RNAcentral
UGACAGGUGGUGCAUGGUUGUCGUCAGCUCGUGUCGUGAGAUGUUGGUUAAGUCCCGCAACGAGCGCAACCCCUAUUGUUAGUUGCCAUCAUUCAGUUGGGCACUCUAGCGAGACUGCCGGUAAUAAACCGGAGGAAGGUGGGGAUGACGUCAAAUCAUCAUGCCCCUUAUGACCUGGGCUACACACGUGCUACAAUGGUUGGUACAACGAGUUGCGAGUCGGUGACGGCGAGCUAAUCUCUUAAAGCCAAUCUCAGUUCGGAUUGUAGGCUGCAACUCGCCUACAUGAAGUCGGAAUCGCUAGUAAUCGCGGAUCAGCACGCCGCGGUGAAUACGUUCCCGGGCCUU